GUCUACAGCCAUGCUACCCUGAACAAGCCCGAUCUCAUCUGAUCUCAGAAGCUAAGCAGGGUUGGGCCUGGUUAGUACUUGGAUGGGAGACCACUUAGGAAGACCAGGUGCUGUAGGUA
RNAcentral lists this ribosomal RNA (119 nucleotides) under Pteropus alecto (black flying fox). The record is from RNAcentral. Lineage: Eukaryota; Metazoa; Chordata; Mammalia; Chiroptera; Pteropodidae.